RNAcentral lists this ribosomal RNA (465 nucleotides) under uncultured bacterium. Its description in RNAcentral is "partial 16S ribosomal RNA". It matches the Rfam family "Bacterial small subunit ribosomal RNA", at positions 338 to 795 of the family's 1533-position model. The record is from RNAcentral.
CCUACGGGGGGCAGCAGUGGGGAAUAUUGCGCAAUGGGCGAAAGCCUGACGCAGCGACGCCGCGUGAGGGAUGAAGGUCUUCGGAUCGUAAACCUCUGUCAGCAGGGAAGAACGGUCACUGUGCUAAUCAGCAGUGAAUUGACGGUACCUGCAAAGGAAGCACCGGCUAACUCCGUGCCAGCAGCCGCGGUAAUACGGAGGGUGCGAGCGUUAAUCGGAAUUACUGGGCGUAAAGCGCUCGUAGGCGGUAUGUCAAGUCAAGGGUGAAAUCCCCGCGCUCAACGGGGGAACUGCCUUUGAAACUGGCAAACUGGAGUGUGUGAGAGGAUAGUGGAAUUCCAGGUGUAGGAGUGAAAUGCGUAGAUAUCUGGAGGAACAUCAGUGGCGAAGGCGACUAUCUGGCACAUAACUGACGCUGAGGAGCGAAAGCGUGGGUAGCAAACAGGAUUAGAUACCCCAGUAGUC